Trichogramma pretiosum is the source of this 964-nucleotide RNA transcript. It is a transcript of the gene named cysteine-rich protein 1-like, with no coding region annotated. The transcript is spliced from 4 exons. The record is from RefSeq and is a predicted model, not a curated record. Lineage: Eukaryota; Metazoa; Arthropoda; Insecta; Hymenoptera; Trichogrammatidae.
GAGGGAGCAUACAUGUGCAAAAAGGAGAGAGAGACAAAGCGUGAUUGAGAAAAGAAUAAUCGCUGCUAUAGGAAGCCUUAUAGUCGGCGCGCGGUUCAGUUGGCGUUCGGACGCACCAUCACAUUCGCGAAAUAUAUACAUUAUAUAUACACCUGCUGCCGCUGAAACGGGCAACGUGCUCGCGCGUCUCUCUCGAGGCAGACUCUUCGCUGAAAAUUUUUCGAUAUCCAAGUGCAGUGUAGCCGCAGUUAGCUUCGUCCGGCCGGUCGAUCGACACAUAACACAUAACACACGCGAGCAUCAUCGUCAUCAUCAUGCCCAACUGCCCGAAAUGCGACAAGCCCGUGUACUUUGCCGAAAGAAAAACGUCUUUGGGCAAGGAUUGGCACGGGGCGUGCUUGAGGUGCGAGAAAUGCAACAAAACUCUGAAUCCAGGCAGCCACGCCGAGCAUGAGGGCAAACCGUACUGCAAUAAUCCAUGCUAUUCGGCAUUAUUUGGCCCCGGAGUUUAUAGGUCGUACUACUGACGAAUACGAGUGUAUUCGGAGAUAGAAGCUACAAGUGGGUGUUGUUGCGUAUCACUUUUCGAUAAAAAUUUACUGGAUGCAACCGAUGAGCAAAGAAUAAAGAGACUUUUUAGAAAAUGUUUCUGUGGAAAUGUUUAAAACUGAUUAAAUUACAUAUUAUGGUUUAUUCCUUUCGUGUUAACUUUUUCUUUCAAAAUUGAUUGAUAGUUCAAAAGGAUGAAAUAAGAGAAUUAAUUUGGUUCAGUUAAUAAGUUUUUGCACCAAGGUUUCGGAAGGGGCGGAGCGGAAAGUUAUGUUUAUAAAAAAUAAUUCACAGUAUACAAUACUGUAGUACAAAAUAAAUGUCUAAUGAUAUAAUGUUUAUAAGGUUAAUAUUUGCUGGUUAAAAUGGUUGGGUUCUUUAGCCAUCAUAAAUAAAUAAAGAAUUUGAAAAAAAA